GAAAUGCGAUAAGUAAUGUGAAUUGCAGAAUUCAGUGAAUCAUCGAAUCUUUGAACGCACCUUGCGCUCCUUGGUAUUCCAUGGAGCAUGCCUGUUUGAGUGUCACGUUAACCCUCAUCAUUAGGAUGUCAAAGUCUUAAUGGUGGAAUUGGAUUGUGCCGUAGUUGGCUCAUCCUGAAAUAUAUUAGCUUGCACUUUUUAGGGUGCUUGGCAUGGUGUGAUAAUUAUCUGCGCCGUUGCCUAAUGCCUCUUCUAUGUGUGCUGCUUAUAGUCGUCCAACAGGACAAUAACUUAAGCUUUGACCUCAAAUCAGGUAGGACUACCCGCUGAACUUAA
RNAcentral lists this unclassified non-coding RNA (336 nucleotides) under uncultured Auriculariales. RNAcentral's name for it is "sequence contains ITS1". The stretch from base 1 to 105 matches the Rfam family "5.8S ribosomal RNA", at positions 50 to 154 of the family's 154-position model. Lineage: Eukaryota; Fungi; Basidiomycota; Agaricomycetes; Auriculariales. The record is from RNAcentral.